GCCACAGUCAUCUUUGGGGUAUCUAGUUUAAAAAAUGUGUGGUCCGUGACCCGGCCAACCAACCAAGAUGGCCGCCAUGGCUAAAAAUAGAACAUAGGGGUAAAAUGCAGUUUUUGGCUUAUAACUCAAAAAUCAAAGCAUUUAGAGCAAAUCUGACGGGUUAAAAGUGUUUAUCAGGUCAAGAUCUAUCUGUCCUGAAAUUUUCAGAUGAAUCGGACAACCUGUUGUUGGGUUGCUGCCCCUGAAUUGGUAUUUUUAAGGAAAUUUUGCUGUUUUUGGUUAUUAUGUUGAAUAUUAUUAUAGAUAGAGAUAAACUGUUAACAGCAAUAAUGUUCAGCAAAGUAAGAUUUACAAAUACCUCAAUGCAAAGGAAAUGGUCAGCUGACCUCUUUAGGAGUUAUUGCCCUUUAUAGUCAAAUUUUAACCAUUUUUUCGUAAAUCU
Molecule: long non-coding RNA, 442 nt
Filed under: Mytilus galloprovincialis (Mediterranean mussel)
Lineage: Eukaryota; Metazoa; Mollusca; Bivalvia; Mytilida; Mytilidae
Source: RNAcentral